CGGUUUAGCUAGGCCCACCGGGCAAUCUUAGCCCACAAGUUAUCUUAGGUUAAUUCUUAUGCAAGUUAUCUUAGGUUAAUUCUUAUGCAAGUUAUCUAGGUUAUAAAUAUAGGCUGUAAGACUCUUUUUGGAAUUAAGCAAUAAGAAUAUUAUUAUCCCUA
Aegilops tauschii subsp. strangulata is the source of this 161-nucleotide non-coding RNA. NCBI's taxonomy places the organism in Eukaryota, Viridiplantae, Streptophyta, Magnoliopsida, Poales, Poaceae. The record is from RefSeq and is a predicted model, not a curated record.